CCUACGGGUGGCUGCAGUAAGGAAUAUUGGUCAAUGGAGGCAACUCUGAACCAGCCAUGCCGCGUGCAGGAUGACGGCCCUAUGGGUUGUAAACUGCUUUUGAACAAGAGAAAACCCUCUUACGAGUAAGAGGCUGAUAGUAUUGUUAGAAUAAGCAUCGGCUAACUUCGUGCCAGCAGCCGCGGUAAGACGAAGGAUGCAAGCGUUAUCGGGAUUCAGUGGGUGUAGAGGGUGUGGAGAGUGAUUGGUAAAAGCCGGCAGCUUAACUGUCGAAUUGCCAUUGAUACUGUCGAUCUAGAGUACAGAUGACGUUGGCGGAAUAUGACAUGUAGUGGUGAAAUACUUAGAUAUGUCAUAGAACACCGAUUGCGAAGGCAGCUAACGAAACUGUAACUGACGCUGAGGCACGAAAGUGCGGGGAUCAAACAGGAUUAGAUACCCGUGUAGUC
This 449-nucleotide ribosomal RNA is filed under the name uncultured bacterium. RNAcentral's name for it is "partial 16S ribosomal RNA". It matches the Rfam family "Bacterial small subunit ribosomal RNA", at positions 338 to 795 of the family's 1533-position model. The record is from RNAcentral.